This 430-nucleotide ribosomal RNA is filed under the name Pseudomonadota bacterium. Its description in RNAcentral is "Proteobacteria bacterium partial 16S ribosomal RNA". It matches the Rfam family "Bacterial small subunit ribosomal RNA", at positions 355 to 776 of the family's 1533-position model. Lineage: Bacteria; Pseudomonadati; Pseudomonadota. The record is from RNAcentral.
UGGGGAAUAUUGGACAAUGGGCGAAAGCCUGAUCCAGCCAUGCCGCGUGUGUGAAGAAGGUCUUCGGAUUGUAAAGCACUUUAAGCGAGGAGGAGGCUACUAGUACUAAUACUACUGGAUAGUGGACGUUACUCGCAGAAUAAGCACCGGCUAACUCUGUGCCAGCAGCCGCGGUAAUACAGAGGGUGCGAGCGUUAAUCGGAUUUACUGGGCGUAAAGCGUGCGUAGGCGGCUAAUUGAGUCGGAUGUGAAAUCCCCGAGCUUAACUUGGGAAUUGCAUUCGAUACUGGUUAGCUAGAGUGUGGGAGAGGAUGGUAGAAUUCCAGGUGUAGCGGUGAAAUGCGUAGAGAUCUGGAGGAAUACCGAUGGCGAAGGCAGCCAUCUGGCCUAACACUGACGCUGAGGUACGAAAGCAUGGGGAGCAAACAGG